UACGUAGGGUGCGAGCGUUGUCCGGAAUUAUUGGGCGUAAAGAGCUUGUAGGCGGUUUGUCGCGUCUGCCGUGAAAUUUCGAGGCUCAACCUCGAACUUGCGGUGGGUACGGGCAGACUAGAGUGUGGUAGGGGAGACUGGAAUUCCUGGUGUAGCGGUGAAAAUGCGCAGAUAUCAGGAGGAACACCGAUGGCGAAGGCAGGUCUCUGGGCAUUACCUGACGCUGAGGAGCGAAAGUGUGGGGAGGCGAAACAGG
RNAcentral lists this ribosomal RNA (256 nucleotides) under uncultured bacterium. RNAcentral describes it as "partial 16S ribosomal RNA". It matches the Rfam family "Bacterial small subunit ribosomal RNA", at positions 524 to 776 of the family's 1533-position model. The record is from RNAcentral.